Molecule: ribosomal RNA, 451 nt
Filed under: uncultured bacterium
Lineage: Bacteria
Description: bacterial SSU rRNA
Rfam family: Bacterial small subunit ribosomal RNA
Source: RNAcentral
UCGAGAAUCUUUCGCAAUGGGCGAAAGCCUGACGAAGCGACGCUGUGUGGACGAUGAAGGCCUUCGGGUUGUAAAGUCCUUUCGCGAGGGAACAAGAGAAGCUAUCCAACAAAUAGUUGAUUUGAGGGUACCUCGUAAAGAAGCACCGGCUAACUCCGUGCCAGCAGCUGCGGUAAUACGGAGGGUGCAAGCAUUAAUCGGAUUUACUGGGCGUAAAGGGCGCGUAGGCGGGCUAGCAAGUCAACUGUGAAAUUCCGGAGCUCAACUCCGGAGCUGCAGUUGAAACUGCUAGUCUAUAGAGGGAUGGCGGAGAAAAUGGAAUUCCACAUGUAGCGGUGAAAUGCGUAGAUAUGUGGAAGAACACCAGUGGCGAAAGCGGUUUUCUAGCUAUUACCUGACGCUGAGGCGCGAGAGCAUGGGGAGCAAACAGGAUUAGAUACCCCCGUAGUCC